This 286-nucleotide unclassified non-coding RNA is filed under the name uncultured fungus. RNAcentral's name for it is "partial contains 5.8S ribosomal RNA, internal transcribed spacer 2, and large subunit ribosomal RNA". The stretch from base 1 to 52 matches the Rfam family "5.8S ribosomal RNA", at positions 103 to 154 of the family's 154-position model. The record is from RNAcentral. Lineage: Eukaryota; Fungi.
AACGCACCUUGCGCUCCUUGGUAUUCCGAGGAGCAUGCCUGUUUGAGUGUCGUGAAAUCAUCAACUCCUUUUUCUUUGUUGGAGAAGUGAGCUUGGAUUUGGGGAUCUGCUGGCAUAGUCAGCUUCCCUUGAAUGCAUUAGCUGGUGCAUGGAAGUGCAGCACAAUAUGCGGUGUGAUAAUGUCGUCACCGUGUAGCUCAAUUCCAUCCGGCUUCGAAUGGUCUCCUUUGUGGGACAAUUUGAUCAACUUGACCUCAAAUCAGGUAGGACUACCCGCUGAACUUAA